This 394-nucleotide long non-coding RNA is filed under the name Pelobates cultripes (western spadefoot toad). Lineage: Eukaryota; Metazoa; Chordata; Amphibia; Anura; Pelobatidae. The record is from RNAcentral.
GUAUAGAUCAUUCCCCUGCAAUUUCACUGCUCAAUUCACUGUCAUUUAGGAGUUAAAUCACUUUGUUUCUGUUUAUGCAGCCCUAGCCACACCUCCCCUGGCUAUGACUGACAGAGCCUGCAUGAAAAAAAAAACUGGUUUCACUUUCAAACAGAUGUAAUUUACCUUAAAUAAUUGUAUCUCAAUCUCUAAAUUGAACUUUAAUCACAUACAGGAGGCUCUUGCAGGGUCUAGCAAGCUAUCAACAUAGCAGGGGAUAAGAAAAUCUUAAUUAAACAGAACUUGCAAUAAAGAAAGCCUAAAUAGGGCUCUCUUUACAGGAAGUGUUUAUGGAAGGCUGUGCAAGUCACAUGCAGGGAGGUGUGACUAGGGUUCAUAAACAAAGGGAUUUAAC